This is a long non-coding RNA of Neofelis nebulosa (Clouded leopard), 6139 nucleotides long. RefSeq lists it as uncharacterized. NCBI's taxonomy places the organism in Eukaryota, Metazoa, Chordata, Mammalia, Carnivora, Felidae. The transcript is spliced from 2 exons. The record is from RefSeq and is a predicted model, not a curated record.
AUUAAAAUUCUGUUUUUAGCACCUGUUCACAAUGUGUAUUUCUCCUGCACAUCCAGAAUUUCCAAGGGAAACUAAUAAAUGUGUUGGAGCUCAGAACAGAUUGCCUGUGUCUAAGCCCUAUGUCCCUUUUAACUAAACUGCUGUUUGGCUUGAAGGCCUGGGCCCUUAGCCAAUAAGCCCUACUUGUGUUCGGAGUCCUUUGUAGGAAAUCAUCCAUGGCCAAGUUCCAGGGCCCAGCUGGUGAAAUCAGCUUGUUGCUCUUUUGGUCUUUAACCUGAGAGAAAAACUACAUCUUGUAAAAGAUCCUAACAGAGAGAAGUGUGAUGAUUAAGUUUAGCAAGAAACUUCUUGACGGGCUUGUGUUUUCUGUCUGGUAACUUCUGUAGAGACUAACUGGUACCUGUUGCUACGAAUGCUUUAGCUGCCUUUUAGGGGCUUGCCAUGCUCCAGAUUUUUCCUGCUUCAGUUAGUUUUAGAGUGAAGAAAAUGCAUCUCCUUUAUAAGGAAGCAGGAUGGCAUGGAAUUUAAUGAAAUAAUAUCCAUGAAACUUGUGUAGUGCUUGAUGAAUAGAGCUUAGAACAUCACCUAGCACAUAAUGAUCAAAAUUUGGCUGAAUCAAUAUAUAGUGCUAAAACCAGCCAACAAACAAAAACCUCCAAAACUAAUGGUCACAAAUUGUUGUAUUUUCGGUCAAUUAAAGUUAGCAAAAAUAAUUAGGAAGGGGAACUGACUUAAAGUUGCCAAUUUUUUACUUUGUUUAGUAAGGAAAUUUAAAGAACACCUGCUAUUUACCACCCUCAAUUCAUAAAGGAAGUUUUAAUAUUUUAAAGGAGAAAGGACACCUUGUAAUAAAGGACAGAUCUUUAAAUGUAUCUUUAUGAAAAAGUUAUUAUUUUUCUCAUUUUCUUCUAGACUAGGGAAUAGUUAUGAGUAUUUGCCUUAGAAGUUAAAAGCAUGGGCUCUGGAAUCCAUCUACCUUCUCAGCACCACUGGUAUGACCUUGACCAACUUACUGUGCCUUGCUUUCCUGAUCCAAAGAAUGGAGUUCAUAUAACCUAAGUCACAAGGGUAUUAUGUGCAUAAAAAAGUAAUACAUGUUCUUUGAGCAGUGCCUAGCACAUAGUAAAUCCUCAAUAAAUGUUAGCUAUUACUAUAGUAAUUAACUUGGUUCACCAAAUAUUGCCACCGCUCUACCCCCAGGCACUCAUUCCUUCUCAGCCAUGCCCCCUCUUGUGGUUGGAUGGGGCCAGGUGACUGGUAGGCUGUGAGCAAAACUGACUUGAGUCACUUUGGGACUGAGGUAUUUUCUAGAUCAGCAGUUCUCAAAGUAUAGUCUGCGGACCCAUGGAGAUCCUUUCAGGAGGUCUGCGAGGUCAAAACUGUUUUCAUCCUAUACUAAGAUGUCAUCUGCUCCUCUGACUGCGUUGAAAUUGUACUCAUAGUCCAGGAGUAAUAGUGGCCAAAGUUGCAGGCAGUGGCCCCAAACUGUACUAGUAAUUGGGUUCUUCACUGCCACAUGCUUACAGGAAGAAAAGUUGCCAGUUUCAGUUAAGAAUGUUCUUGAUGAAGCACUGAAGAGUGUUAAUUUUAUUAAAUCUCUCUUCUUGGGUACACACUUAAAAAUGUCUUGUGUGAUGAAGUAGGAAGUAGGCGUAAAGAACUUGUGCAGCUUAACAGUGUACAAUAGUGUCCCCAGGAAGAUCAUGUGCACGUAGUGCUUUCUGUUGGAAGCUGAACUACCUGCUUUCUUCUCCCAUAGAUCUCAUUUUUACUUGGAAGAAUGACUAACCGACUGUGGUUAUUCCAACUUACGUGUUUGGGAAUCAUUUUUUUGGAAAACGCAAAAGUGACUUUGUCAAGUUGUUUCAAGAAAAAAAAAUGACAAUGUUUGUUGUCAAUGAUAAAACUGAAGUUCUCAUGCAAAGGUAGAUUUUUGGAAGACUUGUGUCCACCAGCGAGAGCUUGAUAGCAUCUCAAUCCAUAAAGACUUCUCUAAUGAGAUUGGUAGUGAUAUUAAUAAAAGUGAUUUUUUUUAAAUAUUAACUCAGGGAACCAGUAUUUUCCAAAUGACUAAUGCAUGAGCUGCAGUGGCAUGCAUGAGUAAAAGAUUCAUUCAAAGGUCAAGACAGACCAAAGGACUUCACUGUAAAAGAAUAUGAAAGGGGCAUUGAUAUGGUUUUAGACUCAACAUUGCACCUAACCUUUGAGAAUAUCCCACUUGCCAAAUUUUGGUACGAUAUCAAAGAAUAUUCAUAACUGUCUGAAAAGACUAUUAAGAUACUUGUCCCUUUCCAACCGUUAAGCACUUGUUAUACUUCAACCAAAAUAGCUUAGGACAACAGAUUGAAUGUUUAUGCAGUUAAAGAGAAUCCAACGCUCCUGUCUUAUCUUAAGCCAGACGUCAAAGAGAUUUGAAAUAAUGUAAAACACAGCCAUUACAUUACAAAUAAUGUAAAACACAGCUCCUCACUAUUUUUUUUAGUUUUAGAAAAUGUAGUUAUUUUUCAUAAAAAUAUUUGUUAAUUAACAUGUAAUAGACUUUAUUUAAUAAAUGUGUUUUACCUAUGUUUUGUAUUUCUCAGUUUUAACAUCUAAUGUGGAUACUAAUAGAUAUAACCCACAUCAAGAAACACUUUUUGGUGUCCUCAAUGAUUUUUAAAAAUACAAAAGUGGUCUGAGACAAGAACGUUUAAGAACUGCUGGUGGAGAUUAUUUUUAAGGAUUUUGUAGAGAUACGAUUCCAAGGUAGUGCCUCAGCUUGUAUUGAUGUGUCCUUGUCCUUUGUUUGCAAAGCUCAGAUCACAACAAUGACACAUGCCCAUCCUGAGAGAGAUGGAACGUGAUGUGGUGUUCUCUCUGUGUCACCUGUGCGCUAGACACAGGCAGGCAGGCCACUUUAUGGCUUCUUGCCCAGAGGUGCAGAGUUGCUCUUUUGUGUGUCCACUUGUGAUUGGAGUAGGAAUAUCCUGCCUCCAGAGUUCUGAGGCAGAUAUUCCUGACUCUUAGGCCUUGGUUCUGUUGCUUUCUCAAUACUAUGUCUUCAGAAUAUAAGAAGGGUAGAAGAGGCAGCUCAUUUUAAUAAGCUACCACCUGUGAGCAGAACAUUUCAACCCAGUGCUGUGUGUAGGCUGGUGGGAAAACAAUGGAACAGUGUUGUCUGGAAGAGAAAUGUGUCUUCUGGGGCAAUUUUAUCAGAUUUUAUUCAAAGGCUGCCUUAACAAGUGGCUUAAUCUGGCAGUCAGACACCUAAGUGCCCUGCCAGGGGAGAGCUCUCAAGCGUCUUUAGAUGUCACAGUCAGACUGCUGGGCCAUAGACAGACCUGAGGCAGGGUGGCAGCACACAUCCUGCAGUCCACAGUGCAGGAGGGUGCCAGCCAGGAACCUCUUCUUCCAGUGCGGUGCAAAGAGUCUCAGCAUUGCCCCAUUGCAGAGACCCACAUGCCAUGACAUAGUGCUGCUGGUCUAGGGCUCUGGGGCUUUAAGUCUGGGGUCUGUGGAGUCCCACCGUCUUGCAGGAGGUGACAUCAGUACUUGAAAGGUUCCACUUUCGUUUGGCUGGUUCAGUCAUUCAGUUUCCUCUGGGGAGUUUCUCUCAAGUCACCCCAGGAGUCUUGGAAACACACCCACUCUGGUUUAUCAUAGCUCUAACUCUCUCCCCAACUCCAUUAAUCCCCUCUGUUUCUGCCCCCAUAAGUACAAAUGGAUCCACUCUCACAUCCUUCCUUCUGGCUUCCUAAGAAGGGACACCCUUUCCACUCAUGGCUAACCCUGCACCUUUGCUCUUGGUCCCCCUUCUCUCCCUGCCUUCCAGAUAUGGACCGUGUUCCCCUUGUUAGUCUCUCAUAUAUGUUUCCAGAAGUGUCCUCUCUCUACAGGGUCCUUCCUCACAGCCAUCUUUUCUCACAUGUUUGUUUCUGAGAAGCAGCCUGCUGCAUAGUUAGGAGCCUGGGCUCUGGGGUCACACACAACUGAAUUCAGAUGUGGUCUCAAGCCCAUUCUUACUGUGUGACUUUGGAAUAAUUGUAUAACAUCUCUGUGCCUCAGCGCCCCUCCAAAAUUCAGUUCUAAUAGUACUUGCUUUAUGUGACUAAAUGACAGCAUCAGAGCCUUUGGGGCUUGAAAAUUAGUAGGCAGAUUGGAAGGUAGGUAGGACUUCACCACGUAGUCGAAGUAGAGUGGGGCUUGGAGAAAAGAGAAACUACCAGCAUUCCAACCAGAAAAAAAAAAACCCACAUGGCUAGAGGCCUGCAUGGGGCCCAGAAGAAGCAUGACAGGUGAGUUCUGCAGGUAGAGUUCUGGCUGCUUGUGAAGAGGAGUGGGGAGCUCAGGCAGCUAAAGAACGAGGAGUUAGAGGACAAGAGAUAAGGCUGAUGAAAACAGUAAGAGUUCCUCUGAACCCCUUCUGACAACUUACAGCAUCGUCUCAACUUGGUUGAUCUGAAGGAGACAUGUUUCAUCUUCAUCUAAAGCACAAAAUUGAGUCCUUGAUUGCCUGUUGUCAUUUUGGGCCUCAAGGGCUUUGGCAGUAAAUAUGAAGAUGAUGGCUUUUGAGUCCUGGGAUGUUUCUGAUUUUACUUGAGCACAGUCUGCCCCCUACUGAUCAUUCUGGAUGUUUUCAACCUAAAUGGGUUUACUUGAUAUCAUUAAGUGCUGCCAUUUGCUUUCAUCCUCAAGGAUAUUGGGGGGAGGGGAGGGAGAGGAGAGGGGGAGAGAAUAAAGUCUGUAAACCUGUGCACCACUUAAAACUGUUAUAUUUAAAGUGUCUCAGAAGUGACCCUUCUAGCAUUAAAAACUAGUUAGUGUGACUAGGCCAAGUGUAAUUUAAAUGGAGCCCAGAACGCAUAUAUUAAGGCCUCCAACUCCAGGCACUUGUAAUUUGACACUACUGGUAGUGAUGAAAAUUUCUGAGGACCCAAAGUUCAAUGAGAAAAAUAAAUGCAUGUAUAAUUAAGAAAAAUAUCUACAUCGUUUGAAAGCAUAAUGUAUUUCAAGAGUGUGCUCUUGAUGAAGAAAGGAAAGGAAAACUUGAAGGAGGACUCCAGGGAGUUGCAAAUUAAGUUCUGUGCUCUGACCAGGCACACUGGAAGGGAAUUAGUGGCACUAUCUUACUAUUUUCUGUUGUGCAAAUAAAAUUUUAUUGUAUCCUUCUCCACAGUAAUAAAAUCAAUUAAAGAUUAAAUAUUAACUAAAUAACACAUAGGAGACAAGAUUAUGAGUUCUUGAUCUUGAAAUGGUACCGUAAAUGUUACACAGGAGAAAGAUUGGGUAAACACUGCUUAUCCAGCGGUUCUUUACUUCAUUUUGUAUAUGUUCCUAGAAGCUAUAAAGUAAAGGCACAUCUAACAGUAGGGAAAGUAAUAUUGCCUCCAGACAGCUUUUGUUUUGAAAGCCGGUAAAGAAACUUCGUGAUUUUCAAAUAUGAGAAUUUUAAUAGAUACCUGCAAAACUUUUUUGAUAGUUGAUCUGAAUUUUAAGAGUAAUAUUUUAUGACUUCUUCAGAACAAGUAAAAAUUAAAUCUCUUGUACAUUCUUUAUCUCAGAAAGUUGGACAUAAUACUAUGCAAUUGUCACAUCUCAGAUAACAUGAUUUAAGUAUCCCAUAAUAUGUUCUUAGAUGCGGCUCUAAGACAGGGGUCAUCAGACUUUUCUGUGAAGGGCCAGAUAGUAAAUAUUUUAAACUUGCAGGCCACAUAGUCUCUGUUGCAAGUAUUCAACUCUGCCACAUUAGGAAGAACUCUGCCAUAGACAAUGGUUAAACAAAUGAAUGCGACAGUGUUCUCUUUAUUUACAAAAGUAAAUGGGGAGCCAGAUUUGGCUUGGGGGCUAUAGUGUGCCUUUCUCUGCUCUAAGGUAGAGUAACCUAGGUGUACAUAUUGACCAAAUAGUGAGGAUAUGAGAUUUGAGUAUGGCUAAUAGAGAUAUUUAAAUCAUAUCAGUACAUAUUUUUUAAACAUUUUGAUAAUAACAGUAGUAAAUUCAGUCUUUAAUCAGUUUCUUGGCAUUUACUGUUUUUAGAAUGAUGUUUGUAUAUGACAGUUAACUUCCUCAAAGACCUGAGUCUGUAUACAUUUAGUACAAAGGUGGAAAAAUCUAAUCUAUUGAAAAAAAAAGUGUUGAAAUAAACUUGAUUUGGUGUAAA